Molecule: long non-coding RNA, 210 nt
Filed under: Lupinus angustifolius (narrow-leaved blue lupine)
Lineage: Eukaryota; Viridiplantae; Streptophyta; Magnoliopsida; Fabales; Fabaceae
Description: long non-coding RNA (LANG_LNC003278)
Source: RNAcentral
GAAAAAGAUCAAUUAAUGAUCUUCUUAGAACUUAGAAUGAUACAGACUUUUGGGUCCAUACACCAAUUUGCAAAAGAUAAAGAAGACGUGUUGUUUGUAACAUUGGUAAACCAAAUCCAAGAUCUAGUUUGAAUUACAUCAAAUAAAUGCACAAAGCUUGGAGUCUUCUCGAAAAAAAUCGCUUCAUUUUGCAUAAUCCAAAUAGACCAA